Molecule: RNase P RNA, 377 nt
Filed under: Candidatus Woesearchaeota archaeon
Lineage: Archaea; Nanobdellati; Candidatus Woesearchaeota
Description: RNase P RNA component
Rfam family: Archaeal RNase P
About the family: Ribonuclease P (RNase P) is a ubiquitous endoribonuclease, found in archaea, bacteria and eukarya as well as chloroplasts and mitochondria. Its best characterised activity is the generation of mature 5'-ends of tRNAs by cleaving the 5'-leader elements of precursor-tRNAs.
Source: RNAcentral
CGGGGUGGGUAGCUGGCUCACGGCUUUGUGCUGAGGAAAGUCCGCCCACCCACAGGCGCGGUGUUGAGGCAUUAUGCCUGCUCUCGCCAGAGAGUCCCGGAGACGGGAGGCAACCACACAGAAACGAGACCGCCCUGCGCGCGAAUGAUGAUGGAUCGGGAACCGCAAGGUUUCUGGCCUGCUCGGGAACGUGUUCCCGGCAGACGCGAAGGAUCCCGCGAGGGAGCCGAGAUAACCUCCGGAAUUGCGCAGGGGAUGGCUGAGACGGUGAGCCCCUGGCGGUGCAAGUCCAUUGCGACGCUGAGUUGAAUGCCGGCGCGGGCCACGCUCCCCUGUGGAGCGGCAAGCCCGACAAAAGGCGGCUUAUUCCUGCCCCG